Molecule: ribosomal RNA, 402 nt
Filed under: bacterium
Lineage: Bacteria
Description: partial 16S ribosomal RNA
Rfam family: Bacterial small subunit ribosomal RNA
Source: RNAcentral
UGGGGAAUUUUGCACAAUGGGGGAAACCCUGAUGCAGCGACGCCGCGUGAUUUAGAAGGCCUUCGGGUUGUAAAAAUCUUUUCUAUGGGAAGAAAAUGACAGUACCAUAGGAAUAAGGACCGGCUAAUUACGUGCCAGCAGCCGCGGUAAUACGUAAGGUCCGAGCGUUGUCCGGAAUCAUUGGGCGUAAAGGGUACGUAGGCGGGUAAGCAAGUUAGAAGUGAAAUCCUAUAGCUCAACUAUAGUAAGCUUUUAAAACUGCUCAUCUUGAGGUAUGGAAGGGAAAGUGGAAUUCCUAGUGUAGCGGUGAGAUGCGCAGAUAUUAGGAGGAAUACCGGUGGCGAAGGCGACUUUCUGGCCAUAACCUGACGCUGAGGUACGAAAGCGUGGGUAGCAAACAGG